AAGUCGUAACAAGGUUUCCGUAGGUGAACCUGCGGAAGGAUCAUUAUUGAAUGAACUUGGUCGGGCUGAUGCUGGUCUCUCCUUGGAGGGGCAUGUGCACGCCUGGCACCAUCUUCUUUUACCACCUGUGCACCUUUUGUAGACUGUGGGGACUACCUUUCCGAGGUCAAACUCGGUUGAAAGGAUUGCUGAUGCCAGCUUUCCUUUGCCUGUCUUCUUGUCUAUGCCUUUUUUUUUUUAUCACAAAUGUAUGACAAUGAAUGUUAUGUUGGGCAUUAUUGCCUUUAAAAACCUAAUACAACUUUCAACAACGGAUCUCUUGGCUCUCGCAUCGAUGAAGAACGCAGCGAAAUGCGAUAAGUAAUGUGAAUUGCAGAAUUCAGUGAAUCAUCGAAUCUUUGAACGCACCUUGCACCCUUUGGUAUUCCGAAGGGUAUGCCUGUUUGAGUGUCAUUAUAUUCUCAACCAUUGAACUUGUUUCUUUGGCUUGGAUGUGGGGGUUGCGGGCUUCGCAAGAGGUCGGCUCUCCUUAAAUGCAUUAGUGGAAACCGCUUGCAGGAUUCAUUCACUUUUUGGCGUGAUAGUAUCGUCGUCAAAGGCUUAUGUCUCCGAGGUGUCUGCUCUCUAACCGUCCGUAAAGGACUCUUAAUGACUUGUUUGACCUCAAAUCAGGUAGGACUACCCGCUGAACUUAAGCAUAUCAAUAAGCGGAGGAAAAGAAACUAACAAGGAUUCCCCUAGUAACUGCGAGUGAAGAGGGAAAAGCUCAAAUUUAAAAUCUG
RNAcentral lists this unclassified non-coding RNA (782 nucleotides) under uncultured Tricholoma. RNAcentral's name for it is "sequence contains ITS1, 5.8S rRNA gene and ITS2". The stretch from base 300 to 453 matches the Rfam family "5.8S ribosomal RNA". Lineage: Eukaryota; Fungi; Basidiomycota; Agaricomycetes; Agaricales; Tricholomataceae. The record is from RNAcentral.